Molecule: long non-coding RNA, 966 nt
Organism: Drosophila albomicans
Lineage: Eukaryota; Metazoa; Arthropoda; Insecta; Diptera; Drosophilidae
Exons: 2
Source: RefSeq, a predicted model, not a curated record
UUCUAUUCCUCCUUCCCCAUUUCCAUCGCUGACCUUGUCUGGUCGUAUCUCAGUGUUUUUCCAUUCACCGCAAAGUUUUUCGCAUCUUUUUACAUUCUGUUAAUUGUUUUGCUUGCGCGUCAACCAUUAUUAUCCCAUGUAUUUCUUUGUUUCCUGUCCUUGUUCGACCUUAUUUUCAAUUCCUCGUUCCGUUCCGGUUGUAUAUUAUUUGUUAAAAGCAUUUAAGUUUGAAAGGGCUCAUUUCACCGAGUUCUUUGACACUUAAAUACCCACUGACUUGACAGCAGGUUGGGGCAUAUUUGUCUACAAUAAUCAAAGUUUAUUAAAGUAUUUUCUGAGAAGUGUGUCACACAAUUUGUCUAAUUAAAUUUAUUUCAGGCUUAUUCUAUAAAUAAAUUCCAUGUUGUUAUAUAAAAUUGAUUGAAGUAAUAAUUCCUCAUACUAGGAAUAAAGUUACUUUGCAUAAAGACAAUUGAUUAAAUUAAGUUCUGCUGUUCAGAUACAAUUAGCUAAAUGGUUUUAUUUUAAAAUGAAUAAAUUAAGUGAAGAAAAUAAAAGGUUUGUCGACCCGCUCUUAGCUGUCCAUCCGUCUGUCUAUCAGUCUGUUUGUGCUGUAGGUUCAACAAACAGGGUCUCCUUCUUAUCACACGCUCUGUCGCGCUGUCGAGAGCAAAGCAGUACAGCAGCUGCCCCACGAGACUUUGUACUGAGAACGAGAGCGAGAGAUCGUGAGAGGGGUUAAAGGAAGGCCAGUGUAAUAGAAGUCGACAAUACAUCCAAUCAAAGCAAAAGAGAAAUAACAAUAAUUUGGAUUUGUGUUCGAUGAAUGCAGCCAGCCCACAACAACUACAUAGAAUGAGUCUCGGCUUGGUUUACAAUGUGUAGUAGUCGCAAUCGAUUGCAGACAAUGUUUGCAUGUUAUUUUUUGUGUGGAUUGGAAAUGAAACUACUUUGCAAUUUUCUUUA